GACGAACGCUGGCGGCGUGCUUAACACAUGCAAGUCGAACGGUGAAGCUCCAGCUUGCUGGAGUGGAUCAGUGGCGAACGGGUGAGUAACACGUGAGCAACCUGCCCCUGACUCUGGAAUAAGCGCUGGAAACGGCGUCUAAUACUGGAUACGAGAAGGGCCCGCAUGGGCACUUUCUGCACAGUUUUUCGGUUGGGGAUGGGCUCGCGGCCUAUCAGCUUGUUGGUGAGGUAAUGGCUCACCAAGGCGACGAAGGGUAGCCGGCCUGAGAGGGCGACCGGCCACACUGGGACUGAGACACGGCCCAGACUCCUACGGGAGGCAGCAGUGGGGAAUAUUGCACGAUGGGCGAAAGCCUGAUGCAGCGACGCCGCGUGAGGGAUGACGGCCUUCGGGUUGUAAACCUCUUUCAGCAGGGAAGAAGCGAAAGUGACGGUACCUGCAGAAGAAGCACCGGCUAACUACGUG
This 468-nucleotide ribosomal RNA is filed under the name uncultured bacterium. RNAcentral describes it as "partial 16S ribosomal RNA". It matches the Rfam family "Bacterial small subunit ribosomal RNA", at positions 28 to 507 of the family's 1533-position model. The record is from RNAcentral.